UGCGCAGGCGGGGAAAUAAGUCAGUGGUGAAAAGCUGCCGCUUAACGGUAGUCUUGCCAAUGAUACUGUUUUUCUUGAGUAUGGUUAAGGUAGGCGGAAUGUGCAGUGUAGCGGUGAAAUGCAUAGAGAUUGCACAGAAGGCCGAUUGCGGAGGCAGCUUACUGAGCCAUAACUGACGCUGAGGCACGAAAGCGUGGGGAGCGAACAGGAUUAGAUACCCUGGUAGUC
RNAcentral lists this ribosomal RNA (228 nucleotides) under uncultured bacterium. RNAcentral's name for it is "partial 16S ribosomal RNA". It matches the Rfam family "Bacterial small subunit ribosomal RNA", at positions 568 to 795 of the family's 1533-position model. The record is from RNAcentral.